ACUGCGCUGAUGAGCCCCAAAAGGGCGAAACAGUUGUCCGCAGU
This 44-nucleotide small RNA is filed under the name Paramuricea clavata. The record is from RNAcentral. Lineage: Eukaryota; Metazoa; Cnidaria; Anthozoa; Malacalcyonacea; Plexauridae.